UCGCAGGCUGCAACCCGCCUGCGUGAAGUUGGAAUUGCUAGUAAUCGCGGAUCAGCAUGCCGCGGUGAAUACGUUCCCGGGCCUUGUACACACCGCCCGUCACACCAUGAGAGUCGGGAACACCCGAAGUCCGUAGUCUAACCGCAAGGAGGGCGCGGCCGAAGGUGGGUUCGAUAAUUGGGGUGAAGUCGUAACAAGGUAUC
RNAcentral lists this ribosomal RNA (203 nucleotides) under uncultured bacterium. Its description in RNAcentral is "partial 16S ribosomal RNA". It matches the Rfam family "Bacterial small subunit ribosomal RNA", at positions 1298 to 1500 of the family's 1533-position model. The record is from RNAcentral.